Helicoverpa armigera (cotton bollworm) is the source of this 1270-nucleotide long non-coding RNA. RefSeq lists it as uncharacterized. The transcript is spliced from 3 exons. The record is from RefSeq and is a predicted model, not a curated record. NCBI's taxonomy places the organism in Eukaryota, Metazoa, Arthropoda, Insecta, Lepidoptera, Noctuidae.
AUUCAACUAUCAAUUUUGGAUGGGAGCGGUCGCACUCAAAAUGUUGCUCAAGAUAUGUUAUCUUUUGCUCGUUGUGAAUUGUUUCUGUUCUGCUGUUUGGGAUCUGAACGAAGUUGAGAUAUACGGAGCUGGAAAAGCCCCAUUCUUCGAGAUACCAUGCAUGCGCAUAGGAGGUACAUGCGCGCAAUCUUUCGCCUGUCCUCCUGGGACGAAGGUGGGUCAAAGAGGCCUAUGUCCUGAACAGCAGCGCAUAGGCGUAGAAUGCUGCAGACCCCAUUUCAGUCGGCAUAUCAAACUUCAUAAAAAAUGGUUGAGACGUACCCUGUACAUGCCAUGAAAAGCUUUUUCAUUUACGAACUUAUAUAGUAUGGUUUUUACGUAUUUGUAAUCAUCGAUAAAUUGGUAAACAGGUAAAUGGAAGGAGGAUCGAGUAUGGAAAUCCAGAAUUGGACCGACACCUGCUAAUCAAAAUUUUUGAAUUUUAUUGAUAAGAUUAAGUAAAUAAAAUGAUUAUGAAAAUCAGAACUAUGCCACUGUAGGCUUUGAUUUGAUUGGGCCUUAUCAACAACCUGUAAUAAUCACCAUAAUUUCUCACGCCAAAACAAAGCAGUAUAACAACUAAGAUUGUAAUUACGUCUUUCACAACGAGCUCUAGUAACUAUUCUAAGCUUUCCAAACAUUUUAUUAUUUCUCCGAUUUGGUAAAUAGAAUUUCAACAGUGUUUUCACACUAGCGGAUAUUUGUCGCACGGUUUUUAUACGCACGACACAUACCGGCGGCAAAAAUCGGUCGCGCUUUGUUAAACGUCAUCUUCCGUACAAGAUGUCAAUUGUUUUAUGUAAACACACACAAGAAUCCGCUAGUGUGAAAACGCUGUAAGUGACAUCUUUGAAGAUAAUAAUACUUUUGUCACUGAAAACCUUGGUUAAACAAAUACUCUUGUUAAAGAAGAACUUUGUUCCAGUAAAGGGGGUAAUGGGAUGUCGAACUCAAAUGGGUGAAUGCAUCCCAUUGUCUGUCACAUGCCCAAGUUACUUGUUAUCAGAAGACGCCACUGGAUGUGGGUAUGACGAAAUAUGCUGCUUACGAAGGGGGAAAUCACGCCUUGAAAAAAAGCCGUAGCUGGUUCUUGUUGAAACUUUUUUAAAGUAAUUUUAAGGUUGGAAGUCAAAUGGAAACUUUUUGUUUGGAAGUCAAACUCAGGCUUCAAAUUAAGAUCUGACAUGUAAAUAGAACGCCUACAGAUGCACCUAGUUCUGGUUUUUGUUAU